CGGCGAGUGAAGCGGCAACAGCUCAAAUUUGAAAUCUGGCUCUUUCAGAGUCCGAGUUGUAAUUUGCAGAGGGCGCUUUGGCUUUGGCAGCGGUCCAAGAUUCCUUGGAACAGGACGUCACAGAGGGUGAGAAUCCCGUACGUGGUCGCUAGCUAUUGCCGUGUAAAGCCCCUUCGACGAGUCGAGUUGUUUGGGAAUGCAGCUCUAAAUGGGAGGUAAAUUUCUUCUAAAGCUAAAUAUUGGCCAGAGACCGAUAGCGCACAAGUAGAGUGAUCGAAAGAUGAAAAGCACUUUGGAAAGAGAGUCAAACAGCACGUGAAAUUGUUGAAAGGGAAGCGCUUGCAGCCAGACUUGCUUGCAGUUGCUCAUCCGGGCUUUUGCCCGGUGCACUCUUCUGCAGGCAGGCCAGCAUCAGUUUGGGCGGUGGGAUAAAGGUCUCUGUCAUGUACCUCUCUUCGGGGAGGCCUUAUAGGGGAGGCGACAUACCACCACAGCUAGACUGAGGUCCGCGCAUCUGCUAAGGAUGCUGGCGUAAUGGCCUGUA
RNAcentral lists this ribosomal RNA (544 nucleotides) under Exserohilum turcicum. RNAcentral describes it as "eukaryotic LSU rRNA". It matches the Rfam family "Eukaryotic large subunit ribosomal RNA", at positions 87 to 642 of the family's 3401-position model. The record is from RNAcentral. Lineage: Eukaryota; Fungi; Ascomycota; Dothideomycetes; Pleosporales; Pleosporaceae.